This 72-nucleotide transfer RNA is filed under the name Aspergillus flavus NRRL3357. RNAcentral's name for it is "tRNA-Tyr (GTA) (tRNA-Tyr-GTA-8-1)". It matches the Rfam family "tRNA". From Rfam's summary of the family: Transfer RNA (tRNA) molecules are approximately 80 nucleotides in length. Their secondary structure includes four short double-helical elements and three loops (D, anti-codon, and T loops). Lineage: Eukaryota; Fungi; Ascomycota; Eurotiomycetes; Eurotiales; Aspergillaceae. RNAcentral also lists the same sequence under 2 other names. The record is from RNAcentral.
GCCCGGAUGGUCUAGUGGUAUGAUUCUCGCUUGUAAUGCGAGAGGCCCCGCGUUCGAACCGCGGUUCGGGCC